RNAcentral lists this ribosomal RNA (373 nucleotides) under uncultured eukaryote. Its description in RNAcentral is "partial 18S ribosomal RNA". It matches the Rfam family "Eukaryotic small subunit ribosomal RNA", at positions 592 to 976 of the family's 1831-position model. The record is from RNAcentral.
CAAUAGCGUAUAUUAAAGUUGUUGCAGUUAAAAAGCUCGUAGUUGAAUUUUUGCUUGCCGCCGAUGUCGGAACUUCCGUACGUUCGGCGGCGUGCAUCCUUGGGUGGAACCUGUGUGGCAUUAGGUUGUCGUGCAGGGGAUGCUCAUCGUUUACUGUGAAAAAAUUAGAGUGUUCAAAGCAGGCUUACGCCGUUGAAUAUAUUAGCAUGGAAUAAUAAGAUAGGACCUUGGUACUAUUUUGUUGGUUUGCGCACCGAGGUAAUGAUUAACAGGGACAGUUGGGGGUAUUCGUAUUCCAUUGUCAGAGGCGAAAUUCUUGGAUUUCUGGAAGACGAACUACUGCGAAANCANNNACCAAGGAUGUUUUCAUNAA